This 317-nucleotide ribosomal RNA is filed under the name uncultured bacterium. RNAcentral's name for it is "bacterial SSU rRNA". It matches the Rfam family "Bacterial small subunit ribosomal RNA", at positions 32 to 342 of the family's 1533-position model. The record is from RNAcentral.
AAUCAACGCUGGCGGCGUGCCUCAGACAUGCAAGUCGAACGAUUAAAGCUCUCUUCGGAGAGUGCAUAGAGUGGCGCACGGGUGAGUAACACGUAAGUAAUCUACCUUCGAGUGGGGAAUAACGUCCGGAAACGGACGCUAAUACCGCAUAAUGCAGCGGCAUCGCAAGAUGACAGUUGUUAAAGGAGCAAUUCGCUUGAAGAGGAGCUUGCGGCAGAUUAGCUUGUUGGUAAGUAACGGCUUACCAAGGCUACGAUCUGUACGGUCUAAGAGGACGGUCGGUCACACUGACACUGAAUAACGGGUCAGACUCCUAC